AGUGAACGCUGGCGGUAGGCCUAACACAUGCAAGUCGAACGGCAGCACAGUAAGAGCUUGCUCUUACGGGUGGCGAGUGGCGGACGGGUGAGGAAUACAUCGGAAUCUACUUUUUCGUGGGGGAUAACGUAGGGAAACUUACGCUAACACCGCAUACGACCUACGGGUGAAAGCAGGGGAUCUUCGGACCUUGCGCGAUUGAAUGAGCCGAUGUCGGAUUAGCUAGUUGGCGGGGUAAAGGCCCACCAAGGCGACGAUCCGUAGCUGGUCUGAGAGGAUGAUCAGCCACACUGGAACUGAGACACGGUCCAGACUCCUACGGGAGGAAGCAGUGGGGAAUAUUGGACAAUGGGCGCAAGCCUGAUCCAGCCAUACCGCGUGGGUGAAGAAGGCCUUCGGGUUGUAAAGCCCUUUUGUUGGGAAAGAAAAGCAGCAGGUUAAUACCCCGCUGUUCUGACGGUACCCAAAGAAUAAGCACCGGCUAACUUCGUG
Molecule: ribosomal RNA, 492 nt
Filed under: uncultured bacterium
Lineage: Bacteria
Description: partial 16S ribosomal RNA
Rfam family: Bacterial small subunit ribosomal RNA
Source: RNAcentral